Molecule: transfer RNA, 355 nt
Filed under: uncultured Microcystis sp.
Lineage: Bacteria; Bacillati; Cyanobacteriota; Cyanophyceae; Chroococcales; Microcystaceae
Description: partial 16S-23S ribosomal RNA intergenic spacer
Rfam family: tRNA (bases 133-206)
Source: RNAcentral
AAGGGAGACCUAAUUCGGGUAUAAGACGAAAAAAGAGUAGUCGAAACCAAGAAUCAAUCCCAAAAGGUCGGAACGAGGUAUGUGGCUUUCAAACUAGGUUCUGGGUUCACACAAGACCUGAAUCAGGAACAAGGGCUAUUAGCUCAGGUGGUUGGAGCGCACCCCUGAUAAGGGUGAGGUCCCUGGUUCGAGUCCAGGAUGGCCCACCUGCACAGGUGGCAAAAACAAAGAAGCGAGGAAUCAGCACCUUAUCUUAUCUAUAUAUAAGAGAGAAUGCUGGCUCUGAGUAAAGAGUCCAGAGGAACCUUGAAAACUGCAUAGAACUAGGUGAAAAAGCCAAAAAAGAAGACCGCAA